UCUAAGCAUCAGGUAACAUCAAAUCGUACCCCAAACCGACACAGGUGGUCAGGUAGAGAAUACCAAGGCGCUUGAGAGAACUCGGGUGAAGGAACUAGGCAAAAUGGUGCCGUAACUUCGGGAGAAGGCACGCUGGUGUGUAGGUGAAGUCCCUGCGGAUGGAGCUGAGACCAGUCGAAGAUACCAGCUGGCUGCAACUGUUUAUUAAAAACACAGCACUGUGCAAACACGAAAGUGGACGUAUACGGUGUGACGCCUGCCCGGUGCCGGAAGGUUAAUUGAUGGGGUUAUCCGUAAGGAGAAGCUCUUGAUCGAAGCCCCGGUAAACGGCGGCCGUAACUAUAACGGUCCUAAGGUAGCGAAAUUCCUUGUCGGGUAAGUUCCGACCUGCACGAAUGGCGUAAUGAUGGCCAGGCUGUCUCCACCCGAGACUCAGUGAAAUUGAACUCGCUGUGAAGAUGCAGUGUACCCGCGGCAAGACGGAAAGACCCCGUGAACCUUUACUAUAGCUUGACACUGAACAUUGAGCCUUGAUGUGUAGGAUAGGUGGGAGGCUUUGAAGCGUGGACGCCAGUCUGCGUGGAGCCAACCUUGAAAUACCACCCUUUAAUGUUUGAUGUUCUAACGUUGGCCCCUGACCGGGGUUGCGGACAGUGUCUGGUGGGUAGUUUGACUGGGGCGGUCUCCUCCCAAAGCGUAACGGAGGAGCACGAAGGUUAGCUAAUCCUGGUCGGACAUCAGGAGGUUAGUGCAAUGGCAUAAGCUAGCUUGACUGCGAGCGUGACGGCGCGAGCAGGUGCGAAAGCAGGUCAUAGUGAUCCGGUGGUUCUGAAUGGAAGGGCCAUCGCUCAACGGAUAAAAGGUACUCCGGGGAUAACAGGCUGAUACCGCCCAAGAGUUCAUAUCGACGGCGGUGUUUGGCACCUCGAUGUCGGCUCAUCACAUCCUGGGGCUGAAGUAGGUCCCAAGGGUAUGGCUGUUCGCCAUUUAAAGUGGUACGCGAGCUGGGUUUAGAACGUCGUGAGACAGUUCGGUCCCUAUCUGCCGUGGGCGCUGGAGAAUUGAGGGGGGCUGCUCCUAGUACGAGAGGACCGGAGUGGACGCAUCACUGGUGUUCGGGUUGUCAUGCCAAUGGCACUGCCCGGUAGCUAAAUGCGGAAGAGAUAAGUGCUGAAAGCAUCUAAGCACGAAACUUGCCCCGAGAUGAGUUCUCCCUGAGACUUUAAGUCUCCUGAAGGAACGUUAAAGACGAUGACGUUGAUAGGCCGGGUGUGUAAGCGCAGCGAUGCGUUGAGCUAACCGGUACUAAUGAACCGUGAGGCUUAACCUU
This 1330-nucleotide ribosomal RNA is filed under the name Klebsiella pneumoniae. Its description in RNAcentral is "partial 23S ribosomal RNA". It matches the Rfam family "Bacterial large subunit ribosomal RNA", at positions 1620 to 2925 of the family's 2925-position model. Lineage: Bacteria; Pseudomonadati; Pseudomonadota; Gammaproteobacteria; Enterobacterales; Enterobacteriaceae. The record is from RNAcentral.